Long non-coding RNA from Eucalyptus grandis, 1367 nucleotides. RefSeq lists it as uncharacterized. The transcript has 3 exons. Lineage: Eukaryota; Viridiplantae; Streptophyta; Magnoliopsida; Myrtales; Myrtaceae. The record is from RefSeq and is a predicted model, not a curated record.
UCAACACCGUUCAAGAUUUCCUCCAGCUGUACUAAGCGGAUGCGCCUUUCUAAGAAACAAAGUGACUCUCACUCUUCGAGCACUGCUAAUUUCCCUUUUUUCCAGUUCACGUUAUUCUAAGCAUUUUUCAAUAUCAUCAAAUCGUGCUACUUCUUCUGUGUGUGAUGUUAUUUCAAGUACUUGGAGAUGGGAUCACCAAGCGGACAUCGGAGACGAUUGUCAGACAUGCCAGCCCCUGUGUGAUCAACGAUGACAAGAUGUAUUUCUACCAAGCUUUGAACAAGGCCAGUAUAGUGUUCAAUUUGGUCAUGAAAGUUGCUCAAGCAGCAGUUGAUGGCCAAAUUUACUAGUCGGUAGACAUAUUGGCCCACUCUCAGAAGAUUUUGUUGCAGAACUUGAAAUGGCUAGCUUACAAUAACAACAAUCAAUGGUGGCGCUCGAUGCCCUGCCCAGCAUCUCUCUUCUGAGAGCCCCAACCAAUUUGCCUACAGAGCCGUCAAUCGGCCCUAGCCUGCCUCUUCAUCAUCUAUUUUACACUGAGCUAAACCAAGAUAGACCAGAAGUGACCCCUGAAUUUAGUUACUCACUGGUUUCAGCAUCGUGCUGCUACAAUGUCACAGAGAUCAGACAAUUAGGUUGUUCGGGUCACAGUCAUCUCACUGCAAAAAUCUUUGAUCCGACUGUAAUUCAACAGCUUGGCAAGGGAGGACUUUUUGUCCAGUUUGAGUGCUGGCGAAAGCAGUCAUCUUCCAGGUUACACACAAGAUCUGUUUGCGCCGAACAUCCAUUUGUCUCCUGAGGAGCUUUUCCAAGUGCCAUCUCCAAUCCCUGGCAAUUUAAUGUGGACACCGGAGCAUACUUUCAUCGUUGAGUCGAGCAGCGGGGCAGAUUUUGGGAUCUGCCCAUCUUGCACGGGUUAUGGAAUCCAUAAUUCUAGGAUUGCAAGGCCCAAGGAGGCAUGGUGCAAGAUCCGUGACGUGGUGAAGUGGGGAUUGGUUCGGCGCGUUGUGGCUGCAAAGAGAAGACCAACGUUCAAUCGUGCAAGUUAUCUAGCUGUAUAAAUGGAGAGUCCCAUCCCCCAAAAGAAUUUUGGGUGCUUCAGGAGCGCAAAACUCUCGCCCACACAAGCCAGUCAUAACAUGCGAAGUACAAAAAAGAAGGAAAUUCAUGAUACUUGAUGCGAGGAGAUUGUCUUGGGGGUAUGAAAUGUCUAGUUCUAGGGGUAAGCUGUCCAGGAUGCAUCAUCAACUUAGUAUUAUGCAUGAUCACUGCGAUUUUCUCUAUUGUUUUUUGUUGAUUCUCCUUUCAUAUUUGAAUGAAGUUGUGCACCAUCAAGAUGGGGCAGCCAAUUGGACGUGUCUUCUCUC